This 1083-nucleotide long non-coding RNA is filed under the name Homo sapiens (human). RNAcentral describes it as "non-protein coding lnc-MSI2-1:2". The record is from RNAcentral. Lineage: Eukaryota; Metazoa; Chordata; Mammalia; Primates; Hominidae.
GUGUUUAUGGGCUCCUGUGGACUCACAGCCUAUUCAAAGUGGUCUAGCUCGGCUGUGCUUUUAUGUGGGUUUAAUCUGAAUAUGCCGGCUUGUGUAAAGUAGAAAUGUAUUGUAUUGCCAAUUUUCAGAGAACCUGAAUUAGCUCAGCUAUUCUGAACAUAAUUUAAUCUUUCUUUAAUGAUUCAAUAGGUGCUUUGAAGUCUCGCACUAAUCAGAGUCAUGGUCAUGAAUAUCAGAACUUGAUAUUGAAGAAGCAUAAAAGUGCUCAUCAAAGAAUUAGGUGACGGAAAUGGCAGGAAACAGCAUAAGUGGAUGCUUCUGUGAGAGUGCAGGUAUGACCAUGUGUGUCAGUGGGCAUGUGGAAGCCUGGUGUGAUAGGUCUAACUGGGAUAACAUUGACCUCACCACAAGCAAUGAAUGACCCUAUCAAAAAGUCAGCCUGGGCCGGGCGCGGUUGCUCAUGCCUGUAAAAAAUUUAAUAAUGUCAGCCUGCUCCCACACUUCCCAAGGAGAAUUUGGUCUUUGCUAACUUGGGCCUCAGUUGAGCAGAUUUGGAGUGAAGGGUGAAGAUGAGAAUUGUCCUCCCCGGAAAAGGCCCAAGAGCCCCAGACAGAGUUUAAUCCCCUUGAAUAGGUAAAAGAGAAAUGAACAGAUAUGUAAGGUGGUCAGGGGGAGACCAGAGCUGGGUUUAGAAGGAAGUAGAGUGUUAGGAGGCAGCUGCCAUGAUUGUAAAUAUACAGGUGUACGUGCACAUGAAGUGGGAAUAAUGACAUCUCCCCCAUUAGGUUGCUAUGAGACCUAAGAAGCCCGCAUGCUUUGCUGUGGACUGAAUGUUUGCAUACCCUCCUGAAUUCAUAUGCUGAAGCCUAAAUCCCCAAUUUGAUGGUAUACGAAGGUGGGGCCUUUGGGAGGUAAUUAGGUCAUGAAAGUGGAGCCCUCAUGAAUAGGAAGAAUGCCCUUAUAAAAGAAAUUCCAACAAGCUGCCUUGCCCCUUUUCUGCCAUUUGAGAAAACAGUGAGAAAUUGCUGCCUGUGAACCAGGAAGCGGGUGCUCACCGGACACUGAAGCCACUGGCACCUUGAU